Molecule: long non-coding RNA, 2336 nt
Filed under: Helianthus annuus (common sunflower)
Lineage: Eukaryota; Viridiplantae; Streptophyta; Magnoliopsida; Asterales; Asteraceae
Description: hypothetical non coding rna
Source: RNAcentral
UACAUUAAGUUAUCGCAGGAAAGAAUGGUUUGUCUGUAGCGGUAAUCAUUGAGGCUGAAGAUUUGGUGAAACUAUCAGAGCCUUGCGAUUUGGAUAAAUCUUUUGCAAUUAGCCAAUCAAUACAAGGAACAUCUAGAAAGCUGUGGAAGUUAAUUCAUCAAACAAGAAUAUUACACUUAUAAUUGAUGAUAAUUCUCUUCUGGAAGUGGCUGCUAAUGGUUCUACAAAAGACAUUUUAAAUUUGAUGCAUUACUACCAUACAUUAACCACACAAUUUAGCGUUGUACAAUAAUUACUGAUCUUCAUGAGGACAUUUAUUCAAGUGGAGAUGGAUUUACAUUUCCUUUACAAAUGGAGUACCUUGCUGACAUCACCAUAAACUGAGCCUUUGAUAACCGGGUUGGCAGCAGAUGUUCACGCUUUUGUAGCGUUUAGAUUGAUUUGAGUGUGUGAGUUAGGACAGGCCAGCACUUUUACAGAAUUUUAGUGAGAUAUGAUGGAUCCAGAAGACCUACAAUCAGACCUACUUGCUUUGAGAAGGUUAUAUAGGCUUCUUGUACAAGAUGAACACUAUAUAGAAGAUGAAGCCUCAGAAAAUUUGUAGUUGUAGCAUUAAAUCUGUCUUCAUACGAUAACGCAAGACGUUUAUUAAUAAAUUCACUUGAUGCUGCUGCGAAUAAAACUUUCGAUGCUCAUGCAAAGAUUCUAGAUGCUCAAAUUAAGCAACGAAUAGCUUGUGGUCAACGCCGCAAGGGCCAUCUAGAGACGGGCUAAAUCUGCGAUCAUUUUCAAUGGGAAAAGCACCAACUAAUGCUGCUUAUGUUGACCUUUUAACUGGUGAUUGGAAUUUCAGUGAGUCAACUGAUCAAGCAGACCUUGCAGGUGAUCCUGGCACCAGAAUCAAAUGAUGCCGGGUGUAUUUCUGUAAGACUGACCAAAACUAAAGACCAGGACAAAAUAGAAGUGUUAAUGGUAUUUUCACCAAACCAUGAUGACAUGGUAUUCCCUAAUGGGUACAAUACAUUCCUGGUGGUAAGAUUCAAAAACUCGAGCAGUGUGCAGCUACGCUUCUUAUGGGCUGCAGUUGUGGUUCUCUAUCUUUAAACGGCUCAUACACUCGAAAAAGGGCUCCAUUGCAUUAUAUGUUUGCUCAGGCUGAAUACAAGACUGUGAAGAAAGCAGCAAUGGUUAUUUCUUCUCAAUAACGAUUACAUUUGGGAUCGCUCUUGGGAUCGCGUUGUCGAAGACAUACAAAGAGAAUAGCCCAAGUUCAUUAAUCAUAGUUGGUUUACUCAACGCUUCAUCAGCUAGACUUCUUUAUCUACAUGGCAGUGGUCGAUUUCAAAUUAAGUCUUAUGCAACCGUCUUACCAGGAAACGACAUAGAUGUUAAUGAACAUAACGAGCCAAUUGCGAGCUUGGAGAGAAUUAGGGAAUAAGAGAUUCCUAGGGACACUAACCCAUUGGCGAUUGUGGCGGAUAAUAAUCUGAGAGUGGCAUCUUUAGAGAGAAUGCACUAAGCGUUGCAAGAUGACGCGAAGCUAGCGUCUUCAACUGUCUCAAUAGCAGCUGCUACUUCUGUUGCUAAAGUGGCUGCAGCUGCUGCUAAAAUCGCAUCAGACGUUGCUGAAACAAGCAAGAUUGAUGUCUGAUGAUUUUUUUUUAAUCAAAAAGAUUAGGUUUAAACACUCUUGGGUUAAAACAAUGUUUUAACCCGAGAAAAAGUGAAACCACUGUUUUGAGUUAAAACAGUGUUUUGAAAUCACUUUUGGGUUAAAACAGUGUUUGAAACCACUUUUGGGUUAAAACAGUGUUUGAAGCCAAAAGUGAUUUCAAAACACUGUUGGGUUAAAACAGUGUUUGAAACCACUGUUGGUUUCUUGGAUUUUUUUAAAAAAAUUAAAAUAUAUUUCUGUGGUUUUUUCUUUAUGUGAAACAAAUGUUGAUGUUUUUUGUUUUUGCUAAAUUUAAAUGCUAUAGGUGUUGGAGAUCGGGCCCACAAUCAAGUGGGACAAAGGAAAGGCUCUUGAGUUUUUGUUAGAGUCACUUGGUGUUGUUCCUAUGUCAAGACGAUGAAAGUCAGAGACAUUUAGAGCACAGUACAUUGAUGCAAAAGAACUCAAUGUCUGUUAGUACAUGGAAUGUUGCUGGGAAACUGCCACCAACUUUGGAUGUUUGUUUUUCCUUUUGUAAUAUUUGUUUUUGAAACAGAGGUUAGGAUUCCAAACAGUGGUAUGAGAAACAUAUGUUCGAAACCUUUGUUUGAUUACAAACAGAGUCUUGAGAAAUAGUGAUUUGGCGAAACAGAGAUUACCCUUUACCAACAGUAGUUGACUU